Molecule: ribosomal RNA, 253 nt
Filed under: uncultured bacterium
Lineage: Bacteria
Description: partial 16S ribosomal RNA
Rfam family: Bacterial small subunit ribosomal RNA
Source: RNAcentral
UACAGAGGGUGCGAGCGUUGUCCGGAAUCACUGGGCGUAAAGGGCGCGUAGGUGGUGACCUAAGCGUGCGGUGAAAGCCCGAGGCUCAACCUCGGGUCGGCCGUGCGAACUGGGUCACUGGAGCAGAAUAGAGGCAGGUGGAAUUCCGGGUGUAGCGGUGGAAUGCGUAGAGAUCCGGAAGAACACCGGGGGCGAAGGCGGCUCUCUGGACCGAAACUGACGCUGAGGCGCGAAAGCGUGGGGAGCAAACAGG